GAGGAUGUGACUCAAGUAGUAGAGGGUCUGUCUAGCAAGCACUAGGCCCUGAGUUCAAACCCCAGUAUCAUUA
RNAcentral lists this transfer RNA (73 nucleotides) under Dipodomys ordii (Ord's kangaroo rat). It matches the Rfam family "tRNA". From Rfam's summary of the family: Transfer RNA (tRNA) molecules are approximately 80 nucleotides in length. Their secondary structure includes four short double-helical elements and three loops (D, anti-codon, and T loops). The record is from Rfam by way of RNAcentral. Lineage: Eukaryota; Metazoa; Chordata; Mammalia; Rodentia; Heteromyidae.